UACGGGGGGGGCAAGCGUUGUUCGGAAUUACUGGGCGUAAAGGGCUUGUAGGUGGCUUGUUAAGUCAGACGUGAAAUCCCUCAGCUUAACUGGGGAACUGCGUCUGAUACUGGCGAGCUUGAGUGCAGGAGAGGAACGCGGAAUUCCAGGUGUAGCGGUGAAAUGCGUAGAUAUGUGGAGGAACACCGAUGGCGAAGGCAGCCCCCUGGGUUAACACUGACGCUCAUGCACGAAAGCGUGGGGAGCAAACAGG
RNAcentral lists this ribosomal RNA (253 nucleotides) under uncultured bacterium. Its description in RNAcentral is "partial 16S ribosomal RNA". It matches the Rfam family "Bacterial small subunit ribosomal RNA", at positions 524 to 776 of the family's 1533-position model. The record is from RNAcentral.